UGCGUAGGCGGUCCCGCAAGUCCGUUGUGAAAGCCCCGGGCUUAACCUGGGAAUGGCAGUGGAAACUAGGGGACUUGAAUCUGGCAGAGGGGGGUGGAAUGCCACGUGUAGCAGUGAAAUGCGUAGAGAUGUGGCGGAACACCGAUGGCGAAGGCAGCCCCCUGGGCUGAGAUUGACGCUCAGGCACGAAAGCGUGGGAGCAAACAGGAUUAGAUACCCUGGUAGUCCACGCCCUAAACGAUGAUCACUAGGUGUUGGGGAAGCGAUUUCUCAGUACCGCAGCUAACGCGUGAAGUGAUCCGCCUGGGGAGUACGGUCGCAAGAUUAAA
This 329-nucleotide ribosomal RNA is filed under the name uncultured bacterium. RNAcentral's name for it is "bacterial SSU rRNA". It matches the Rfam family "Bacterial small subunit ribosomal RNA", at positions 568 to 898 of the family's 1533-position model. The record is from RNAcentral.